GCUCAAUCGAGGAAGUGCUUCGAAAACUGGUAAACUUGAGUGCAGAAGAGGAAAGUGGAACUCCAUGUGUAGCGGUGGGAUGCGUAGAUAUAUGGAAGAACACCAGUGGCGAAGGCGGCUUUCUGGUCUGUAACUGACGCUGAGAUUCGAAAGCAUGGGUAGCAAACAGGAUUAGAUACCCUGGUAGUCCAUGCCGUAAACGAUGAGUGCUAAGUGUUGGAGGGUUUCCGCCCUUCAGUGCUGCAGCUAACGCAUUAAGCACUCCGCCUGGGGAGUACGAUCGCAAGAUUGAAACUCAAAGGAAUUGACGGGGGCCCGCACAAGCGGUGGAGCAUGUGGUUUAAUUCGAAGCAACGCGAAGAACCUUACCAGGUCUUGACAUACCAUGAAAAGCUAAGAGAUUAGUCUUUCCCUUCGGGGACAUGGAUACAGGUGGUGCAUGGUUGUCGUCAGCUCGUGUCGUGAGAUGUUGGGUUAAGUCCCGCAACGAGCGCAACCCUUAUUAUCAGUUGCCAGCAUUCAGUUGGGCACUCUGGUGAGACUGCCGGUGACAAACCGGAGGAAGGUGGGGACGACGUCAAAUCAUCAUGCCCCUUAUGACCUGGGCUACACACGUGCUACAAUGGUCGGUACAACG
This 637-nucleotide ribosomal RNA is filed under the name uncultured bacterium. RNAcentral describes it as "bacterial SSU rRNA". It matches the Rfam family "Bacterial small subunit ribosomal RNA", at positions 607 to 1244 of the family's 1533-position model. The record is from RNAcentral.